CCCUUAGAUGUUCUGGGCAGCACGCGCGCUACAAUGGUCUUCGCAAACGGAUGCAUUCUCGAAGGAGAAUGCCAAUCUUGGAAUCUAUGCCUUGGUCGGGACAGUUGCUUGCAAUUUUUCGACUCGAACCAGGAAUUCCUUGUAAUCGUGAUUCAUCACAUCACGAUGAAUACGUCACUGCCCUUUGUACACACCGCCCGUCGCUCCUACCGAUCGAAGAGUUAGGUGAAUUGUUUUGAUCGAUAAGAUUUGACUAUGGUCAACUCUCGUUGUGAAAUUCUGUGAAUCUGACUGUUUAGAGGAAGGAAAAGUCGUAACA
RNAcentral lists this ribosomal RNA (319 nucleotides) under uncultured eukaryote. Its description in RNAcentral is "partial 18S ribosomal RNA". It matches the Rfam family "Eukaryotic small subunit ribosomal RNA", at positions 1470 to 1796 of the family's 1831-position model. The record is from RNAcentral.